CAUUACCUUAUCUUACCUUACCUUACAUUACCUUAUUUUACAUUACCUUACAUUACAUUCUCUUACCUUACAUUAUCUUACCUUACAUUAUCUUACAUUACCUUACCUUACAUUACCUUACAUUACAUUACCUUACAUAACCUUAUUUUACAUUACCUUACCUUACAUUACCUUACAUUACAUUCCCUUAUCUUACAUUACCUUACCUUACAUUACCCUACCUUACAUUACCUUACAUUAUCUUACCUUACAUUAUCUUACCUUACAUUAUCUUACAUUACCUUACCUUACAUUACCUUACAUUACAUUCCCUUAUCUUACAUUACCUUACCUUACAUUACCUUACAUUAUCUUACCAUACAUUACAUUACCCUACCUUACAUUACCCUACCUUACAUUACCCUACCUUACAUUACCUUACCAUACAUUACCUUAUUUUACAUUACCUUACAUUACAUUCUCUUAUCUUACAUUACCUUACCUUACAUUACCUUGCAUUACAUUCCCUUAUCUUACAUUACCUUACCUUACAUUACCUUACAUUAUCUUACCUUACAUUACUUACCUUACAUUACCUUACAUUACAUUCCCUUACCUUACAUUCCCUUAUCUUACAUUACCUUACCUUACAUUACCUUACCUUACAUUACCCUUACAUUACCUUAUCUUACAUUACCUUACAUUCCCAUACCUUACAUUACCUUACAUUUCCUUACAUUAUAUUCAUUUACAUUACAUUACCCUUACAUUACCUUACCUUACAUUACCUUAUUUUACAUUGCAUUAUAUUACAUUCCCUUAUCUUACACUACCUUACAUUACCUUACCUUACAUUACCUUACAUUACCUUACCUUACCUUACAUUACCCUUACCUUACAUUACCCUUACAUUACAUUACCUUAUUUUACAUUACCUUACAUUACAUUCCCUUAUCUUACAUUACCUUACAUUACAGUCCCUUAUCUUACAUUACCUUACAUUACAUUACAUUGCCUUACAUUACCUUACAUUACAUUACCUUAUAUUACAUUACCUUAUUUUACAUUACCUUACAUUACCUUACCUUACAUUACCUUACCUUACAUUACCUUAUUUUACCUUACCUUACCUUAUAUUCCCUUACAUUACAUUACCCUUACCUUACCUUACCUUAUUUUACAUUCCCUUAUCUUACAUUACCCUACAUUACCCUACAUUACCCUACCUUACAUUACAUUACAUUCCCUUAUUUUACGUUACCUUACAUUACAUUACAUUGCCUUACAUUACCUUACCUUACAUUAUCUUACAUUUCAUUACCUUACCUUACAAUCUAGGAGUAUAGUACCCACUGCACACACUUUGGGGGAGUCAUGAGGAAGAGACUGUAACCUCUCCUGUGUACAAGAUCAAGUCACAGUCUCACCUACUACUGGCUGUUUACCCUUGUUUAAUUCUCAGUAUGUUUCUUGCUUAAGUAUUAUGACCCAAACAGAAA
RNAcentral lists this long non-coding RNA (1478 nucleotides) under Cyanistes caeruleus (blue tit). Its description in RNAcentral is "lncRNA (ENSCCEG00000018649.1)". Lineage: Eukaryota; Metazoa; Chordata; Aves; Passeriformes; Paridae. The record is from RNAcentral.